RNAcentral lists this ribosomal RNA (515 nucleotides) under uncultured bacterium. RNAcentral describes it as "partial 16S ribosomal RNA". It matches the Rfam family "Bacterial small subunit ribosomal RNA", at positions 107 to 607 of the family's 1533-position model. The record is from RNAcentral.
UGAGUAAUGUCUGGGAAACUGCCUGAUGGAGGGGGAUAACUACUGGAAACGGUAGCUAAUACCGCAUAACGUCGCAAGACCAAAGAGGGGGACCUUCGGGCCUCUUGCCAUCAGAUGUGCCCAGAUGGGAUUAGCUAGUAGGUGGGGUAACGGCUCACCUAGGGCGACGAUCCUUAACGGGCGUGGGGGAAGAACCCCCCCCCCCCCCUGGAAACUGAAACCCGGUCCAAAAUCCCUGGGGGGGGGGCAGCAGUGGGGAAUAUUGCACAAUGGGCGCAAGCCCUGAUGCACCCAUGCCGCCGUGUAUGAAGAAGGCCUUCGGGUUGUAAAGUACUUUCAGCGGGGAGGAAGGUGCUGAGGUUAAUAACCUCAGCAAUUGACGUUACCCGCAGAAGAAGCACCGGCUAACUCCGUGCCAGCAGCCGCGGUAAUACGGAGGGUGCAAGCGUUAAUCGGAAUUACUGGGCGUAAAGCGCACGCAGGCGGUCUGUCAAGUCGGAUGUGAAAUCCCCGGG